This 73-nucleotide transfer RNA is filed under the name Agathobacter rectalis. RNAcentral describes it as "tRNA-Val". It matches the Rfam family "tRNA". Rfam says of the family: Transfer RNA (tRNA) molecules are approximately 80 nucleotides in length. Their secondary structure includes four short double-helical elements and three loops (D, anti-codon, and T loops). Further hydrogen bonds mediate the characteristic L-shaped molecular structure. tRNAs have two regions of fundamental functional importance: the anti-codon, which is responsible for specific mRNA codon recognition, and the 3' end, to which the tRNAs corresponding amino acid is attached (by aminoacyl-tRNA synthetases). tRNAs cope with the degeneracy of the genetic code in two manners: having more than one tRNA (with a specific anti-codon) for a particular amino acid; and 'wobble' base-pairing, i.e. permitting non-standard base-pairing at the 3rd anti-codon position. Lineage: Bacteria; Bacillati; Bacillota; Clostridia; Lachnospirales; Lachnospiraceae. RNAcentral also lists the same sequence under 1 other name. The record is from RNAcentral.
GGGAUCUUAGCUCAGCUGGGAGAGCAUCUGCCUUACAAGCAGAGGGUCACAGGUUCGAACCCUGUAGGUCCCA